GACGAACCGUCCUAACGUUGUUCGGAAUCACUGGGCUUAAAGGGCGCGUAGGCGGGUGAUCAAGUCAGGGGUGAAAUCUUUCGGCUUAACCGGAAAACAGCCCCUGAUACUGGUUGUCUUGAGGGAGGUAGGGGUAUGUGGAACUUCUGGUGGAGCGGUGAAAUGCGUUGAUAUCAGAAGGAACGCCGGUGGCGAAAGCGACGUACUGGACCUCUUCUGACGCUGAGGCGCGAAAGCUAGGGUAGCGAACGGG
This 253-nucleotide ribosomal RNA is filed under the name uncultured bacterium. Its description in RNAcentral is "partial 16S ribosomal RNA". It matches the Rfam family "Bacterial small subunit ribosomal RNA", at positions 524 to 776 of the family's 1533-position model. The record is from RNAcentral.